UCAGGCCUAACACAUGCAAGUCGAACGCCCUAGCAAUAGGGAGUGGCGCACGGGUGAGUAACGCGUGGGAACGUGCCCUUCACUACGGGACAACGUCGGGAAACUGACGCUAAUACCGUAUAAUGACUCCGGUCCAAAGAUUUAUCGGUGAAGGAGCGGCCCGCGUCUGAUUAGCUAGUUGGUGGGGUAAAAGCUUACCAAGGCGACGAUCAGUAGCAGGUCUGAGAGGAUGAUCUGCCACACUGGGACUGAGACACGGCCCAGACUCCUACGGGAGGCAGCAGUUAGGAAUAUUGGAAGAUGGGCGCAAGCCUGAUCC
Molecule: ribosomal RNA, 319 nt
Filed under: uncultured bacterium
Lineage: Bacteria
Description: bacterial SSU rRNA
Rfam family: Bacterial small subunit ribosomal RNA
Source: RNAcentral